This 396-nucleotide ribosomal RNA is filed under the name uncultured bacterium. RNAcentral describes it as "partial 16S ribosomal RNA". It matches the Rfam family "Bacterial small subunit ribosomal RNA", at positions 523 to 918 of the family's 1533-position model. The record is from RNAcentral.
AUACGUAGGGUGCGAGCGUUGUCCGGAAUUACUGGGCGUAAAGAGCGUGUAGGCGGUUGAAUAAGUCUGGAGUGAAAGUCCCGGUUUCAAGUUGGGAACUGCUUUGGAUACUGUUCAACUUGAGUGCGGAAGAGGUUAGUGGAAUUCCCAGUGUAGCGGUGAAAUGCGUGGAGAUUGGGAGGAACACCAGUGGCGAAGGCGACUUACUGGGCCGUAACUGACGCUGAGGCGCGAAAGCGUGGGGAGCAAACAGGAUUAGAUACCCUGGUAGUCCACGCUGUAAACGAUGAUUACUAGGUGUGGGGGGACUGACCCCUUCCGUGCCGCAGUUAACACAAUAAGUAUUCCGCCUGGGGAGUACGGCCGCAAGGUUGAAACUCAAAUGAAUUGACGGGG